CCCGCUCGGCUGCACAGGACAGGAAUUUCAGGGUGUUUGACGCACUCAGGAAGGUCUGACUAUUUGAUUAGUAGGUGGCUUCUAGAUGGUCAGAGGGCGAACCAGGCCUUCAGGGAGCGCUUUGGAUGACCUUGAGGUGACUUUGUUCCUGUCUGCUCUGAUACAGGUGCCCCCGCCUCUGUGUUAGGAGUCAGAUGCCUCUGGCUUGGCUCUGGCCACAUCUGUGCGUGGAAAUGUCCCCUGAGCGGGAGCAGGGAAGGGAUCCGGGAUGAGCCUCCUCCAUCUGGACCCAGCUGAUUUUCUCCGGAAACAUCGCACUCUGCUUGCUGACACCAAGGCCCACCCUGCCCAGAAUAAAUCAUCCUGUGAUUGCGUUUGAUUGCCCUAAAGUCUGCAAAAACAAUGAUUUUGAUCAUUUGUUGAGUAAAUCAUAACAUUUA
Molecule: long non-coding RNA, 440 nt
Organism: Nycticebus coucang (slow loris)
Lineage: Eukaryota; Metazoa; Chordata; Mammalia; Primates; Lorisidae
Exons: 2
Source: RefSeq, a predicted model, not a curated record